RNAcentral lists this non-coding RNA (65 nucleotides) under Candidatus Glassiibacteriota. RNAcentral's name for it is "Candidatus Glassbacteria Fluoride sequence". It matches the Rfam family "Fluoride riboswitch aptamer (crcB RNA motif)". The record is from RNAcentral.
CAAUAAACAGGGGAUGGAGUCCCCCUUCAAGCGCUCUUUCCAGGGCUGAUGGCUCCUACCGCGGG